GUGAGGGGGUGACUAGUGACAGAGUGAGGGAAGGGGUGACUUGUGGCAGAGUGAGGGAAGGAAGGCGUGACUAGUAACAGAGUGAGGGAGGUGGUGACUGUCACUAGUCACCAGCUCCCUCACUCUGUCACUAGUCACCACCUCCCUCUGUCACUACUCCCUCCCUCCCUCCUUCUGUCACUAGUCACCCCCUCCGUCCCUUACUCUGUCACUAGUCACCCCCUCCCUCUGUCACUAGUCACCCCCUCAC
This is a non-coding RNA of Pelobates cultripes (western spadefoot toad), 250 nucleotides long. Lineage: Eukaryota; Metazoa; Chordata; Amphibia; Anura; Pelobatidae. The record is from the annotation of a GenBank genome assembly.